CAGUGCAGCACUGGAUUACACGCCUUAAAGUGAUGAAUGAUAAGAGCAAUACUUCCCUCAACUAUCCAGAGCUCUGCACCGCAUGUUGAACUCCUCAGCACCUUACAAACGCCCGGAGAGGCCAUGAGGGUAUCCGUGACGUCAGAUAGCUUGAAGGCCAAUGAGCUGCUCCGCUCGUCAACCAAUCAGCACUCAGUCGACGGCGUCCUGCUGCCCAAAGCCCGUGUGCUGCAAGGAAAAGGGAAAAGUCGAGUCAUUCAUUGAGCACUCGGGCGCCCUCUGGCGUUUUACGGUCAUAUCGUUGAUGUACCGGGGAGACAGGACAAGGUCAGACUCCUCACAACCCGGCUCUGGCGAGGCUCGGUAACUGAGGAUUCACCUGCACCGAGGCAGAUUCUACCCGUAUUGAAGCGGAUUCCACCUAUAUUGAGGCAGAUUCCACCAGUAUUGAGGACUCCAGCAGCAACCUGAACCAGAGGAUAUCAUUUAACCCUGAGCAGUAAUAUGAUAACAGUUGACGUUGGCAUCUAUUUCCAGUAUCUCAUUGAGGGACUUGACCAAAACUGCUGUGGAGGUUACAGAAUGAGGCGAACCCCAAUGAUCCAGCCACCCAGUAUAGAACUCCGAAUUCACCUAUAAGUAAUCAAGAACCAUUAAAACAGUACAAAGUC
Long non-coding RNA from Pygocentrus nattereri (red-bellied piranha), 671 nucleotides. RefSeq lists it as uncharacterized. The transcript has 5 exons. The record is from RefSeq and is a predicted model, not a curated record. Lineage: Eukaryota; Metazoa; Chordata; Actinopteri; Characiformes; Serrasalmidae.